CCUACGGGAGGCAGCAGUAGGGAAUUUUCGGCAAUGGGGGGAACCCUGACCGAGCAACGCCGCGUGAACGAAGAAGUUAUUCGUAAUGUAAAGUUCUUUUAACAGGGAAGAAAGAGAAAUUUGACGGUAUCUGAAGAAUAAGCUCCGGCUAAUUACGUGCCAGCAGCCGCGGUAAUACGUAGGGAGCGAGCGUUAUCGGGAAUUAUUGGGCGAAAAGGGUGCGUAGAUGGCAUAGAAAGUCUUUGGUAAAAAUGCUGGGCUAAACCCAGUAGGGCAAAAGAUACUGCAAAGCUAGAGUAUGAGAGAGGCAAGUGGAACUACAUGUGUAGCGGUAAAAUGCGUAAAUAUAUGUAAGAACACCAGUGGCGAAGGCGGCUUGCUGGGUCGAUACUGACAUUGAGGCACGAAAGCGUGGGGAGCAAACAGGAUUAGAUACCCUUGUAGUC
Molecule: ribosomal RNA, 446 nt
Filed under: uncultured bacterium
Lineage: Bacteria
Description: partial 16S ribosomal RNA
Rfam family: Bacterial small subunit ribosomal RNA
Source: RNAcentral